GCUGGUUGUCAUAGGCUCCAAAGAGCUCCAGGCAGAAACGCCACCCAAGAAUUGCAGGGGGACCCCUCUUCCGGAAACCUGUUUUUUUGGCCAAUUUACAAAAGAUUGAUUGGUAUCAGUGCCUUACAUUGAUCUGUGUUCCAACCUUGGCGGUGCGUUUUGUUUUGUUUUUCUGAAUUGUCUGCAAGUUAUUUGUUCAAACCGUGAAACCAGACUACUCAAAACCCUCUGCCAGACCUUCAACCCAUCAACAGUGGUUCAAAGGAAUUCCCCAGUCUUGCUGCACUCCCAGAAGAAAUCUCCCUCAAACUGUUUGGCAAUGCCUGGUCAGUCACAGGAAGAACCACUCUUGUGCACGCUCACAGUCACGAUUUUCCAGGAGAAGAGCAACACAUGUCCACUGUGGAAACAUUAGAAAACAGAUAACCCAAGGGAAAAAAGAGAAGCCUUGUCACCACACCAUGCCCCAGGGAACUCAUAAAACAAAGGGCAUGUUCCGGAGGUGCAGUCUCCCCUCCAAGUGAUCUAAACCAGCUUUGACUUUUCCAGCAGGAAGUUGGACUGGAAUAUUUCACAUUUAGCCCCCCUAUAUUUGUGAAGUUCCUGAAUGGAUCUAUUCUUCGACUAGCCUUUCCAAGGGUCUUUAUUAAGUUGUGAACUUUAUAACCAUUUAAGGAAAUUUAUGGAAAGGGACAGA
Canis lupus familiaris (dog) is the source of this 697-nucleotide long non-coding RNA. RefSeq lists it as uncharacterized. The record is from RefSeq and is a predicted model, not a curated record. The transcript is spliced from 3 exons. NCBI's taxonomy places the organism in Eukaryota, Metazoa, Chordata, Mammalia, Carnivora, Canidae.